RNAcentral lists this ribosomal RNA (522 nucleotides) under uncultured bacterium. RNAcentral's name for it is "bacterial SSU rRNA". It matches the Rfam family "Bacterial small subunit ribosomal RNA", at positions 791 to 1301 of the family's 1533-position model. The record is from RNAcentral.
UAGUCCUAGCCGUAAACGAUGGGCACUAGGCAAUGGGUUUACCUAUGAGGCUCAUUGCCGUAGCUAAUGUGUUAAGUGCCCCGCCUGGGGAGUACGCUCGCAAGGGUAAAACUCAAAGGAAUUGACGGGGGAUCACACAAGCGGUGGAGCAUGUUGCUUAAUUCGAAGCAACGCGAAGGACCUUACCAGGCCUUGACAUGGACGAAUUAGAUUCCUGAAAGGGAGUUGACUGCUCUUCGGAGCCGGAACGUUCACAGGUGUUGCAUGGCUGUCGUCAGCUCGUGCCGUGAGGUGUUGGGUUAAGUCCCGUAACGAGCGAAACCCUUAUCGUUAGUUGCCAGCGGGUUAUGCCGGGGACUCUAGCGAGACUGCCGUUGUCAAAACGGAGGAAGGUGGGGACGACGUCAAGUCAUCAUGGCCCUUAUGGCCUGGGCUGCAAACGUGCUACAAUGGUCCGUACAAAGGGUACCCAAGUCGCAAGGCGGAGGCAAUCCCAUCAAAGCGGGCCUCAGUUCGGAUUGC